GCUUUACGGAAAGAGGGAAACUAUUAUUUUUCACAACACUUUUUACUCAAUAGUUGUCGCCCGUGAGAUUUGAACUCAAAGCAUUCUCCUAUGUUCUACUUAAUUAGUCAUGACUGAUAUAUGGUAGAUCAAAUUACCCUUAAUCUGCAGGAUAUAUGUUAAGGAUUUAUUGGCACUGGGUGUGGAGAAUGGAACUGCUCAACUUCAUCCUCUUAAAUAUAGUGUUGUUCGUGCAGAUCGUACUUAUCGUGGGGAGAUUCAAGUUGGUCUAACUUUCACUCCAAGGGCAGAACAGCAACAUGAGGGACAAGAGUUUGGAGGAUGGAAGCACAGUGAUGCAUAUCCAUAGGGAAACAAAUUCCACUGCCGCAGCUUGCAAAGUACAGACUAGUUAAAGCUCCUUGAAGAGGAUUGGGCCAGUGUUGCUAGGUUUAGGCUUAUUUGUAGUUAGUUUUCUGUGUGUUGGGCCUUGAUCCUCCUUGUAAUCUCUCCAGUUCUUAAUUUGUAGCUUUGAACUUUUGAAAUUCCAUGGUAAAGAAAGAAAG
Prunus mume (Japanese apricot) is the source of this 545-nucleotide non-coding RNA. The record is from RefSeq and is a predicted model, not a curated record. Lineage: Eukaryota; Viridiplantae; Streptophyta; Magnoliopsida; Rosales; Rosaceae.